GUACUCCUACGGGGAGGCAGCAGUGGGGAAUAUUGCACAAUGGGGGAAACCCUGAUGCAGCCAUGCCGCGUGUGUGAAGAAGGCCUUCGGGUUGUAAAGCACUUUCAGUAGGGAGGAAGGUAGUGUAGUUAACACCUGCAUUAUUUGACGUUACCUACAGAAGAAGCACCGGCUAACUCCGUGCCAGCAGCCGCGGUAAUACGGAGGGUGCGAGCGUUAAUCGGAAUUACUGGGCGUAAAGCGCAUGCAGGCGGCCUGUUAAGUCAGAUGUGAAAGCCCGGGGCUUAACCUCGGAAUUGCAUUUGAAACUGGCAGGCUAGAGUCUUGUAGAGGGGGGUAGGAAUUUCAGGUGUAGCGGUGAAAUGCGUAGAGAUCUGAAGGAAUACCAGUGGCGAAGGCGGCCCCCUGGACAAAGACUGACGCUCAGAUGCGAAAGCGUGGGGAGCAAACAGGAUUAGAUACCCUGGUAG
This 470-nucleotide ribosomal RNA is filed under the name uncultured bacterium. RNAcentral's name for it is "bacterial SSU rRNA". It matches the Rfam family "Bacterial small subunit ribosomal RNA", at positions 333 to 793 of the family's 1533-position model. The record is from RNAcentral.